GUCGAGCGGACAGAAGGGAGCUUGCUCCCGGAUGUUAGCGGCGGACGGGUGAGUAACACGUGGGUAACCUGCCUGUAAGACUGGGAUAACUCCGGGAAACCGGAGCUAAUACCGGAUAGUUCCUUGAACCGCAUGGUUCAAGGAUGAAAGACGGUUUCGGCUGUCACUUACAGAUGGACCCGCGGCGCAUUAGCUAGUUGGUGGGGUAAUGGCUCACCAAGGCGACGAUGCGUAGCCGACCUGAGAGGGUGAUCGGCCACACUGGGACUGAGACACGGCCCAGACUCCUACGGGAGGCAGCAGUAGGGAAUCUUCCGCAAUGGACGAAAGUCUGACGGAGCAACGCCGCGUGAGUGAUGAAGGUUUUCGGAUCGUAAAGCUCUGUUGUUAGGGAARAACAAGUGCGAGAGUAACUGCUCGCACCUUGACGGUACCUAACCAGAAAGCCACGGSUAACUACRUGCCAGCAGCCGCGGUARUACGUAGGUGGCAAGCGUUGUCCGGAAUUAUUGGGCGUAAAGGGCUCGCAGGCGGUUUCUUAAGUCUGAUGUGAAAGCCCCCGGCUCAACCGGGGAGGGUCAUUGGAAACUGGGAAACUUGAGUGCAGAAGAGGAGAGUGGAAUUCCACGUGUAGCGGUGAAAUGCGUAGAGAUGUGGAGGAACACCAGUGGCGAAGGCGACUCUCUGGUCUGUAACUGACGCUSAGGAGCGAAAGCGUGGGGAGCGAACAGGAUUAGAUACCCUGGUASUCCACGCCGUAMACGAUGAGUGCUMAGUGUUAGGGGGUUUCCGCCCCUUAGUGCUGCAGCUAACGCAUUAAGCACUCCGCCUGGGGGAGURCGGUCGCAAGACUGAMACUCAAAKGAAUUGAC
RNAcentral lists this ribosomal RNA (872 nucleotides) under Bacillus zhangzhouensis. Its description in RNAcentral is "bacterial SSU rRNA". Lineage: Bacteria; Bacillati; Bacillota; Bacilli; Caryophanales; Bacillaceae. The record is from RNAcentral.